AACGAACGCUGGCGGCAGGCUUAACACAUGCAAGUCGAACGCACCUUUCGGGGUGAGUGGCAGACGGGUGAGUAACGCGUGGGAAUCUACCCUUCUCUACGGGAUAGCUCCGGGAAACUGGAAUUAAUACCGUAUACGUCCUGAGGGAGAAAGAUUUAUCGGGGAAGGAUGAGCCCGCGUUGGAUUAGCUAGUUGGUGGGGUAAAGGCCUACCAAGGCGACGAUCCAUAGCUGGUCUAAGAGGAUGAUCAGCCACAUUGGGACUGAGACACGGCCCAAACUCCUACGGGAGGCAGCAGUGGGGAAUAUUGGACAAUGGGCGCAAGCCUGAUCCAGCCAUGCCGCGUGAGUGAUGAAGGCCCUAGGGUUGUAAAGCUCUUUCAGUGGGGACGAUAAUUACGGUACCCACAGAAGAAGCCCCGGCUAACUUCGUG
This 433-nucleotide ribosomal RNA is filed under the name uncultured bacterium. RNAcentral's name for it is "partial 16S ribosomal RNA". It matches the Rfam family "Bacterial small subunit ribosomal RNA", at positions 29 to 507 of the family's 1533-position model. The record is from RNAcentral.